AAGUCGUAACAAGGUUUCCGUAGGUGAACCUGCGGAAGGAUCAUUAACACGUAUCCACGUUAAACUCAAACCACCACGAACUGUGCUCCCUAGCCUUCCAACUUCACUGUCGAUCUUUAUGCGAGAUCCUAUAUGGGCGACUGAACGCGGCUGUCUCUUCGGAGGCCCCCUCCUCAGCGUGAUCUGAGAUUUAGACUAUUCACUCCUCGAGAGUGAGACAGUGAGACCGGGAGACUAGGCUUUUCUAUUCCCCAUCUCUUGCAUUUCUCACCAUAUUUGGAAUGUGAGGCGAUACCAACCUAAUUUCACCCUAUUUUACCUAUUUGACUAAUUUACGAGUUUCACAUGUCGGGGAGAAAUCCUUGAUCUCUGUGGAAUGACCUAAGAUUUAUCUUAACUAAGCACAACUCUUAGCAAUGGAUAUCUUGGUUCUC
This 434-nucleotide unclassified non-coding RNA is filed under the name fungal sp. RNAcentral describes it as "partial internal transcribed spacer region". The stretch from base 1 to 46 matches the Rfam family "Eukaryotic small subunit ribosomal RNA", at positions 1786 to 1831 of the family's 1831-position model. Lineage: Eukaryota; Fungi. The record is from RNAcentral.